AUAUUUCUGUUAAAUUUGUUGACGGCGUGCUAAAUUGGCAAGUCAGCUAAAACAUUUUUAAUUAAUUCUAAAGUCAAUGAAAGUUUGGUGUUUUUUUUGUCAGCCCAAAAGUUUAUGUUUCUUUUGGCAAUUUGUGCAAAGUAGUGGUUUUUUUUUGGCCGAAUUCUCGAUAAUAAAUAGUCUUGAUAAUGUUUUUAUCGUCGUUAAUCUGAUAAAGACAUACAUAUUCCAACAAAUUAUUAUUUGUUAUAAGAUAAACAUUUAAAUGAUCAUCCACUCCUUUACCAAUUCAAGCAUUAUGAUCAUCUACUCAUCAAACACUAUAAUCACCCACUCA
This 337-nucleotide long non-coding RNA is filed under the name Brassica napus (rape). RNAcentral's name for it is "long non-coding RNA (BNAP_LNC014796)". Lineage: Eukaryota; Viridiplantae; Streptophyta; Magnoliopsida; Brassicales; Brassicaceae. The record is from RNAcentral.